GCAUGGUUAGCUUAAUUGGUAGAGCGCUCCACCUGUAAUGGAGAGGUCCCGGGUUUGAUACCCGGACCAGGCG
Non-coding RNA from Ixodes scapularis (black-legged tick), 73 nucleotides. The record is from Rfam. Lineage: Eukaryota; Metazoa; Arthropoda; Arachnida; Ixodida; Ixodidae.